CGUAAACGAUGAGUGCUAAGUGUUAGAGGGUUUCCGCCCUUUAGUGCUGCAGCAAACGCAUUAAGCACUCCGCCUGGGGAGUACGACCGCAAGGUUGAAACUCAAAGGAAUUGACGGGGGCCCGCACAAGCGGUGGAGCAUGUGGUUUAAUUUGAAGCAACGCGAAGAACCUUACCAGGUCUUGACAUCCUCUGACAAUCCUAGAGAUAGGACUUUCCCCUUCGGGGGACAGAGUGACAGGUGGUGCAUGGUUGUCGUCAGCUCGUGUCGUGAGAUGUUGGGUUAAGUCCCGCAACGAGCGCAACCCUUGAUCUUAGUUGCCAGCAUUUAGUUGGGCACUCUAAGGUGACUGCCGGUGACAAACCGGAGGAAGGUGGGGAUGACGUCAAAUCAUCAUGCCCCUUAUGACCUGGGCUACACACGUGCUACAAUGGAUGGUACAAAGGGCUGCAAGACCGCGAGGUUUAGCCAAUCCCAUAAAACCAUUCUCAGUUCGGAUUGUAGGCUGCAACUCGCCUACAUGAAGCCGGAAUCGCUAGUAAUCGCGGAUCAGCAUGCCGCGGUGAAUACGUUCCCGGGCCUUGUACACACCGCCCGUCACACCACGAGAGUUUGUAACACCCGAAGUCGGUGGGGUAACCUUUUGGAGCCAGCCGCCUAAGGUGGGACAGAUGAUU
This 677-nucleotide ribosomal RNA is filed under the name Cytobacillus kochii. RNAcentral's name for it is "bacterial SSU rRNA". It matches the Rfam family "Bacterial small subunit ribosomal RNA", at positions 801 to 1476 of the family's 1533-position model. The record is from RNAcentral. Lineage: Bacteria; Bacillati; Bacillota; Bacilli; Caryophanales; Bacillaceae.